UACGAAGGGAGCGAGCGUUGUUCGGAAUCACUGGGCGUAAAGCGUGCGUAGGCGGUUUUGUAAGUAAGAAGUGAAAGCCUGGGGCUUAACCUCAGAAUUGCUUUUUUAGACUGCAAAACUGGAGUACUGGAGAGGUUAGUGGAAUUCCGAGUGUAGAGGUGAAAUUCGCAGAUAUUCGGAGGAACACCAGUGGCGAAGGCGACUAACUGGACAGUAACUGACGCUGAGGCACGAAAGCGUGGGGAUCAAACAGG
This 254-nucleotide ribosomal RNA is filed under the name uncultured bacterium. Its description in RNAcentral is "partial 16S ribosomal RNA". It matches the Rfam family "Bacterial small subunit ribosomal RNA", at positions 524 to 776 of the family's 1533-position model. The record is from RNAcentral.